GGAUCGUAAAACUCUGUUGUAAGGGAAGAACACGUACGAGAGUAACUGCUCGUACCUUGACGGUACCUUAUUAGAAAGCCACGGCUAACUACGUGCCAGCAGCCGCGGUAAUACGUAGGUGGCAAGCGUUGUCCGGAAUUAUUGGGCGUAAAGCGCGCGCAGGCGGUUCUUUAAGUCUUAUGUGAAAGCCCACGGCUCAACCGUGGAGGGUCAUUGGAAACUGGAGAACUUGAGUACAGAAGAGGAAAGCGGAAUUCCACGUGUAGCGGUGAAAUGCGUAGAGAUGUGGAGGAACACCAGUGGCGAAGGCGGCUUUCUGGUCUGUAACUGACG
RNAcentral lists this ribosomal RNA (333 nucleotides) under bacterium br8(2011). RNAcentral describes it as "SSU rRNA". It matches the Rfam family "Bacterial small subunit ribosomal RNA", at positions 420 to 745 of the family's 1533-position model. The record is from RNAcentral.